Molecule: small RNA, 801 nt
Filed under: Malus domestica (apple)
Lineage: Eukaryota; Viridiplantae; Streptophyta; Magnoliopsida; Rosales; Rosaceae
Description: sRNA MD05G0128000
Source: RNAcentral
GGCGUAGCAAGACUUAUGUAAGAUGAGGUGCUUAAGUCUUUUCCGUUGUUUGAACCCACGAGUCUUCUCACCAAAAAAAAAAACAGAGUAAUUCCGAAGUGCUUGAAUGAUCACCAGGAGUUGAAUCUGAAGACCGAGUAAGUGUUUCCUAGAUACGUCUGCUUCAACCAGCUUUUAACUAUUAAAGAGAAUUUGAUUUUACAUUUGUGCUUCAUCACAUAUACUGUUAACAUUCAACACUUUUGGAUCAGCCUUUCUAGUUUAGCAUCUCCUUCAAGCUCAUAUCAAAACUGGGAUCCGCCGUUAUGAAGGCCGGCUUUUAUUGUUGAAACAGAACACUCUCCCAGCUUGGAUAUUAUAUGCGAAACCUGAUGGUUUGGGAGGUGGGGUGUCAAACAUCCUUUUCGAGUUUAAACCGAAAUUUAGUAUAUCAAUAUGCAUUAUUUUUACUUGGAUUUUAUGUAUAUUCUGACAAUUGGUCCCUCGAUAUUUGUUCUUUUAUCAUAUGCUUUUUCAGCAUUUCAUUUCCUCUGGAUUGUGUGUUCUUUUUCAAAACAAGUGGGAUUUGGAAGUCAUGUCAUCACCCAUCCCCUCCCCUCAAAGAGAAUUUUUAGCUGAGUGAAUGAAAUGAUUCCAACGUUAUUCACCGCUCUGGUCAAUUUUGGACUUAAGCGACUCUUCAUGCUCAUCUCAGCCUCUUGGCCCGCCUUUUCCUGAAUCUAGGAUCGAGCUUCUUCCCCCAUCUGGGGUUGAUGCCCGCGGUGGAUGACAUAGCAGUGGUUUAGCAUGCCCUUAUUUCAG